AAGCCUGAUCCAGCCAUACCGCGUGGGUGAAGAAGGCCUUCGGGUUGUAAACUGCUUUUGUACGGAACGAAAAGCCUCUCUCUAAUACAGGGGGGUGAUGACGGUACCGUAAGAAUAAGCACCGGCUAACUACGUGCCAGCAGCCGCGGUAAUACGGAGGGGGCUAGCGUGCUCGGAAUCACUGGGCGUAAAGGGUGCGUAGGCGGGUUUCUAAGUCAGAGGUGAAAGCCUGGAGCUCAACUCCAGAACUGCCUUUGAUACUGGAAGUCUUGAGUUCGGGAGAGGUGAGUGGAACUGCGAGUGUAGAGGUGAAAUUCGUAGAUAUUCGCAAGAACACCAGUGGCGAAGGCGGCUCACUGGCCCGAUACUGACGCUGAGGCACGAAAGCGUGGGGAGCAAACA
Molecule: ribosomal RNA, 402 nt
Filed under: uncultured Bradyrhizobiaceae bacterium
Lineage: Bacteria; Pseudomonadati; Pseudomonadota; Alphaproteobacteria; Hyphomicrobiales; Nitrobacteraceae
Description: bacterial SSU rRNA
Rfam family: Bacterial small subunit ribosomal RNA
Source: RNAcentral